GAUGAACGCUAGCGGCAGGCCUAACACAUGCAAGUCGAGGGAGAAGCCUAUCGGGGCAGAAACCGGCGCACGGGUGCGUAACGCGUAUGCAACCUACCUUUCACAGGGGGAUAGCCCGAAGAAAUUUGGAUUAAUACCCCAUAAUAUUGUUGGAUGGCAUCAUCUGAUAAUUAAAACUGCGGUGGUGAAAGAUGGGCAUGCGUCCUAUUAGCUAGUUGGAGUGGUAACGGCACCCCAAGGCUACGAUAGGUAGGGGUCCUGAGAGGGAGAUCCCCCACACUGGUACUGAGACAGGGACCAGACUCCUACGGGAGGCAGCAGUGAGGAAUAUUGGUCAAUGGUCGGAAGACUGAACCAGCCAUGCCGCGUGCAGGAAGAAUGCCUUAUGGGUUGUAAACCGCUUUUAUAUGGGAAGAAUAAGGUGUACGUGUACAUUGAUGACGGUACCAUAUGAAUAAGCAUCGGCUAACUCCGUG
RNAcentral lists this ribosomal RNA (476 nucleotides) under uncultured bacterium. Its description in RNAcentral is "partial 16S ribosomal RNA". It matches the Rfam family "Bacterial small subunit ribosomal RNA", at positions 28 to 507 of the family's 1533-position model. The record is from RNAcentral.